Molecule: ribosomal RNA, 496 nt
Filed under: uncultured bacterium
Lineage: Bacteria
Description: partial 16S ribosomal RNA
Rfam family: Bacterial small subunit ribosomal RNA
Source: RNAcentral
GACGAACGCUGGCGGCGUGCCUAAUACAUGCAAGUAGAACGCUGAAGCUUGGUGCUUGCACCGAGCGGAUGAGUUGCGAACGGGUGAGUAACGCGUAGGUAACCUGCCUGGUAGCGGGGGAUAACUAUUGGAAACGAUAGCUAAUACCGCAUAACAGUAGAUAUCGCAUGAUAGCUACUUGAAAGGUGCAAAUGCACCACUACCAGAUGGACCUGCGUUGUAUUAGCUAGUUGGUGAGGUAACGGCUCACCAAGGCAACGAUACAUAGCCGACCUGAGAGGGUGAUCGGCCACACUGGGACUGAGACACGGCCCAGACUCCUACGGGAGGCAGCAGUAGGGAAUCUUCGGCAAUGGACGGAAGUCUGACCGAGCAACGCCGCGUGAGUGAAGAAGGUUUUCGGAUCGUAAAGCUCUGUUGUAAGAGAAGAACGAGUGUGAGAGUGGAAAGUGCACACUGUGACGGUAUCUUACCAGAAAGGGACGGCUAACUACGU